AAAACUAAAAGACAAAAAUAAACAUUCGUCACAUUUGGUUGUAUUAUAUAUUUUAUUAUAUGCAUAUAUCUUAUAGUCGAUACUACAUCACAUCAUAAGGUGACCAUACGUUCCGUUUUAAAAGGGCAGUGCCGUUUUCGGCUGUCUGCAGUCUCGUUGUUCCCGAGGGAAUCUUAUGACACUAAAAUGUCCCGUAUUUAUAAGGUAGGCUUUAAAAAUAACAAAAAUCGUAUUUCGUUGAUGAAUAAUUUUUAUUACCUAUUCUUUUUUAUUUCCAAAUUUUACAUUUAGAUGCACUGCAGGACAGCUAAAGAGGGAAUAAUAAAAAAUAAAAAAAAAUGAAUAUUGGAGCGAAUGACAUAUUAUGGUUAUAACUUAUAAUCAUCGCGAUAUUCAGCAUUCAGCGCCAACACAUUCGAAUGUUCUCUCAGAGCGAUUCUUUUUUUGUCUCGUUUUGAAUUCAAACAUAUGGUCACCUUCAGCCCAACUAGACAACGACUUUACUGUUAUAAAUUCUUAUGAAGUUACUUAUAUCGACCGACAUGGCGACAUGUACGUAAUAACUUAUGACUAAUGAGUAUAGCACCUACACAUAAUACAUAUAGUAUGUAUUAAUUAUUAUUUAUUUAAUUCCUAAAAAUGUAUAUAAGAAUAAAUACAAUUUAAAGUUUGUAUAAUAUAUUAUAAUAUAUUAAUAUACAAAUGUAGACUGCUCGUAGCAGUUUGUUGCUUUUAUCGCAGCAUAAUCUUGGAAAAUUGGAAUAUAAUAACUAAAAGAUAUGGUUUCUUUGGUGGUAUAAAAAAAGGACACGGCAUUUUAAGAUUGAUAAAAUAUCGGAUAAAUUCAACGAGCUGUUAAGAUUGGAAAAUUAUAUGAUUAUAUGUCAGAGAGACAAAAUGAUGGUACUCCAUCAGAAGUUAUUUCGAGUAGCUACAUGCAAAACACGGCAAUUUAUAUUAUAUUACACAGAUCAGGUACCAUUUGUCUAUUUAUAUAUAUAUUACAUAUAUGCAAUACUUGCUAAUUCAUUGAUAAUAUAUAUAAUCAGUAGAUAUAUUACAAUAUUAGAUUAUUAUUUAUUACCGGCGAGUCCUUGCCCAGAACCAGCUAUCCCAAACACGCUUUUCUUGCUUAUCGAUUGUUUGCAAAAGCUGACCACGGCCAAAGCAGCCAUUAAAAAACUGACGAAAACGCCAGCGGACAUUAACACCAGGCCGACCUUCCAUACGAACGGGAACAUCGUCGAAUCCGUAGCCAGUCCUUCGACAGCGAACGAACCACAGUGCUGGUUACCGUUGAUUUUUUUACACCGGUAGUAAAUGCCCACGGACGGACGGCAGCGCACUUCGUAGUACGGCGAGUCCACGGUGUUGUUCGCUGUGAAUACAAAAUCCAACGGUUAUCAAUUGCAUUGAAGUAGCCUUUAGGCAGUGAUGCACUAGUGCAGUGUACAAGUGAAUAUUUAUGAAUACACGUAUUGUUGUAUAUUUAUUGUUUGUUAUAUAUAUAUAUAUUUUUUUAGUUUGUAAAAUAUGAUAAAACGUAAUAAAUAAUAAUGUAAAAUGAAUUACACAUGGGCAUAA
This is a long non-coding RNA of Rhopalosiphum padi (bird cherry-oat aphid), 1584 nucleotides long. RefSeq lists it as uncharacterized. The record is from RefSeq and is a predicted model, not a curated record. NCBI's taxonomy places the organism in Eukaryota, Metazoa, Arthropoda, Insecta, Hemiptera, Aphididae. The transcript is spliced from 2 exons.